RNAcentral lists this ribosomal RNA (290 nucleotides) under uncultured archaeon. Its description in RNAcentral is "partial 16S ribosomal RNA". It matches the Rfam family "Archaeal small subunit ribosomal RNA", at positions 1054 to 1345 of the family's 1478-position model. The record is from RNAcentral.
CUACCCAAGUUGCUCACUGCUCUCCGGAGCGGAGGGGCUAAUUAGAGGGACCGCCGCCGCUGAGGCGGAGGAAGGAGGGGGCUACGGCAGGUCAGUAUGCCCCGAAACCCUCGGGCCACACGCGGGCUGCAAUGGUAAGGACAACAGGCUCCGAUUCCGAAAGGAGGAGGCAAUCCCUAAACCUUACCACAGUUAUGAUUGAGGGCUGAAACUCGCCCUCAUGAAUAUGGAAUCCCUAGUAACCGCGUGUCACCAUCGCGCGGUGAAUACGUCCCUGCUCCUUGCACAAA